GGGGGUGUAGUUAAGUGGUAUAAUGCUCGACUCCAAAUCGAGCGUCGGGGGUUCGAUUCCCUCCGCCCCUGCCA
This 74-nucleotide transfer RNA is filed under the name Bacteroidota bacterium. RNAcentral describes it as "Bacteroidetes bacterium (groundwater metagenome) tRNA-Trp". It matches the Rfam family "tRNA". From Rfam's summary of the family: Transfer RNA (tRNA) molecules are approximately 80 nucleotides in length. Their secondary structure includes four short double-helical elements and three loops (D, anti-codon, and T loops). Further hydrogen bonds mediate the characteristic L-shaped molecular structure. tRNAs have two regions of fundamental functional importance: the anti-codon, which is responsible for specific mRNA codon recognition, and the 3' end, to which the tRNAs corresponding amino acid is attached (by aminoacyl-tRNA synthetases). tRNAs cope with the degeneracy of the genetic code in two manners: having more than one tRNA (with a specific anti-codon) for a particular amino acid; and 'wobble' base-pairing, i.e. permitting non-standard base-pairing at the 3rd anti-codon position. Lineage: Bacteria; Pseudomonadati; Bacteroidota. The record is from RNAcentral.